Molecule: ribosomal RNA, 543 nt
Filed under: uncultured Caryophanaceae bacterium
Lineage: Bacteria; Bacillati; Bacillota; Bacilli; Caryophanales; Caryophanaceae
Description: bacterial SSU rRNA
Rfam family: Bacterial small subunit ribosomal RNA
Source: RNAcentral
GGUUUAGCGGCGGACGGGUGAGUAACACGUGGGCAACCUGCCCUGCAGAUCGGGAUAACUCCGGGAAACCGGUGCUAAUACCGAAUAGUUUGCAGCCUCUCCUGAGGCUGCACGGAAAGACGGUUUCGGCUGUCACUGCAGGAUGGGCCCGCGGCGCAUUAGCUAGUUGGUGGGGUAAUGGCCUACCAAGGCGACGACGGGUAGCCGGCCUGAGAGGGUGAUCGGCCACACUGGGACUGAGACACGGCCCAGACUCCUACGGGAGGCAGCAGUAGGGAAUCUUCCGCAAUGGACGAAAGUCUGACGGAGCAAUGCCGCGUGAGUGACGAAGGUUUUCGGAUCGUAAAACUCUGUUGUAAGGGAAGAACAAGUACCAAGUAACUACUGGUACCUUGACGGUACCUUACCAGAAAGCCACGGCUAACUACGUGCCAGCAGCCGCGGCAAUACGUAGGUGGCAAGCGUUGUCCGGAAUUAUUGGGCGUAAAGCGCGCGCAGGCGGUCCCUUAAGUCUGAUGUGAAAGCCCACGGCUCAACCGUGGA